This 806-nucleotide long non-coding RNA is filed under the name Citrus x clementina. RNAcentral describes it as "Citrus clementina (C. clementina) long non-coding RNA (CCLE_LNC004195)". Lineage: Eukaryota; Viridiplantae; Streptophyta; Magnoliopsida; Sapindales; Rutaceae. The record is from RNAcentral.
ACUGAUAUGAGUGGGUUUAUUAUUAUUUAAUUUAGCCCCCGUUAAAUCUAUUAAAACAACUUCUAUGAACUUUGUUAACUCAUGAAAUUUUAAUUUUCACAUUUUCUAGUUAUGUAAUUUAACCCAUUCAUAAAUCAUUUUUCUAAAUUUGACACUAACAAUUACUAGUAUUCAUAAAAAAUUAAAAACUACGACUGUCUAACCUUAAUACCAAGCAUCGUUUUAAUCAUCAAUUACAUCAAAUAUUUUCAACAAAUCUAUAGUUAAAGUUUCGACCUCCGUAGAGGACGGCUAGUUUACGAGUCGAGUCCCCGCCACCUACCGCCCUUAAGCUAUAUGGUAUGGAAAUGGGAGUCUGAUUAUUAUGCAAUGCACUUGUGCGCGCGCGCACAUACACACACCUAAUCAUAUUCACCUGUGCACCAUUGAUAAUUAAUAAAUAUCAUUUUCAUUAAUAGGCUCCAUGCAUAAGAUUACUAUUUCGUCUACAAAUACAUAAAAUCUCCAUAAAAUAUACUCGUUAAGGGGACCAGUCGUUACACAAACAAUAAAAAAUGAUAUUAGGUUUGAAAAAAAUAUCAGUAGCUAUAAGGUGAUCUUAUCACUUAGGAUAAUAAAUGAUCAGUCCUUCCCUUUUUUAUUCUUUCUUUUAAAUUCAAAGUAUUGACUUGAUCAAUCUAUCUUAUGUAAAUAUCCAUCGCUCACAAAUAUGGCAAGGCUCAUAUAGUGGGGGUGGUUGAGAGUUGAGACCCACCUACUUAUGUGCUCGAAUCUUUGAACUUUUUUCCUUGUAUUUUUAUAAAAUA